ACAACUUGCCACAAAUUCUUACUGCUAGUUAUUCUAUUUCCUACAGGUAAUUCAUCUAUAGGAAAUAGAAUAACUAGCAAUUCACCUGUAGGAAGGUAAUUCACCUG
Brugia malayi is the source of this 107-nucleotide non-coding RNA. NCBI's taxonomy places the organism in Eukaryota, Metazoa, Nematoda, Chromadorea, Rhabditida, Onchocercidae. The record is from RefSeq and is a predicted model, not a curated record.